This 253-nucleotide ribosomal RNA is filed under the name uncultured bacterium. RNAcentral's name for it is "partial 16S ribosomal RNA". It matches the Rfam family "Bacterial small subunit ribosomal RNA", at positions 524 to 776 of the family's 1533-position model. The record is from RNAcentral.
UACGGAGGGGGCUAGCGUUGUUCGGAAUUACUGGGCGUAAAGCGCACGUAGGCGGCUUUGCAAGUUAGAGGUGAAAGCCCGGGGCUCAACUCCGGAAUUGCCUUUAAAACUGCAUCGCUAGAAUUGUGGAGAGGUAAGUGGAAUUCCGAGUGUAGAGGUGAAAUUCGAAGAUAUUCGGAAGAACACCAGUGGCGAAGGCGACUUACUGGACACAUAUUGACGCUGAGGUGCGAAAGCGUGGGGAGCAAACAGG